RNAcentral lists this ribosomal RNA (253 nucleotides) under uncultured bacterium. RNAcentral describes it as "partial 16S ribosomal RNA". It matches the Rfam family "Bacterial small subunit ribosomal RNA", at positions 524 to 776 of the family's 1533-position model. The record is from RNAcentral.
GACGAACCGUGCGAACGUUGUUCGGAAUCACUGGGCUUAAAGGGCGCGUAGGCGGACCCCCAAGUCCGGGGUGAAAUCCUCCGGCUUAACCGGAGAAUUGCCUGGGAUACUGGGGGUCUUGAGGGAGGUAGGGGCACGCGGAACUUCCGGUGGAGCGGUGAAAUGCGCAGAUAUCAGGAGGAACACCGGUGGCGAAGGCGGGUCUCUGGGCCGAUACUGACGCUGAGGAGCGAAAGCGUGGGGAGCAAACAGG